RNAcentral lists this microRNA precursor (57 nucleotides) under Gallus gallus (chicken). RNAcentral's name for it is "Gga-Mir-460-P2_pre stem-loop". It matches the Rfam family "mir-460 microRNA precursor family", at positions 12 to 67 of the family's 77-position model. The record is from RNAcentral. Lineage: Eukaryota; Metazoa; Chordata; Aves; Galliformes; Phasianidae.
UCCUCAUUGUACAUGCUGUGUGUAUUUGCCACGUACACAGCGCAUGCAAUGUGGACA